This 1157-nucleotide long non-coding RNA is filed under the name Equus caballus (horse). RNAcentral describes it as "lncRNA (ENSECAG00000046675.1)". Lineage: Eukaryota; Metazoa; Chordata; Mammalia; Perissodactyla; Equidae. The record is from RNAcentral.
GGAAAGGGUGUGCAGGAACUGUCUGUAAGUCUGAGUUAACAAGGCUUCCAUAAGUCUAAACUUAGGUUCAAAAUAAAAAGUUAAAAAAAUGGAGAACCAUAGAUCUCUGAAGACAUCAUCUUAACAUUUGGGUCCAGCACUGCCUGAAGUCUGAUAAUCUUCUAACAUUUCAGCCAGACAUCCAACAACUAUCUGUGCAAAAGGACGUACAGGAUAUCGUGCACUAUGUUCCUUCGUCUUCCAUUCAUUUAAAAAAUCCCUGAGUGACUACUACGUAUUGUAAACAAUUUUCUGCUGAGAAUAAUACAGCCUUUGGCAUCUCAACACUCUGCUAUCUACAAACGAGGCACUUUCCUCCCUCUCCCAGAGUAAUGGAGUGCUCUGCUCCAGAAACAAAAACCAAGUAAAUGCUUCCACAUGCUUCCAUCCUCUUUCUUGCACUUGUUAAAGCUCUCAUCUGGGAUGCCAGUCUGACUCUAGGCCACAGGAAUAGCUGGGCCAUGAACCACACCAGAAGUGCGUCAGCACUGACACGCAUUGUCAGGAACACCGGUGACCCGAGGCUGCCCACGCAGACACAGGACCAUUUUGACGACGACUGAUAGAAGAAGCAAAGGCAAGAUCAUUGAAGUGCCUGGACAGCACGCACCGUUAGUGGCUGGAUCCUCUCGCCUCCCAUCUUGUGAAACCACCGUUACAUAACUCGCUCAGAGUCAGCAUUCAUAACAGAACAGGAAGCUCACAGUGGUGACAUGAGGCUGUAAGAAGAGAGGUGUUGAUCUACCCGUGUGAUUGACAACAGAGGGAUAAGAACAGUACUCUGCAGGUGGCGCCCUCUCUUCCAGCUGAUUUCAGCAGGAGAAGCAGCAGUGACAGCAAGCUGGCCUGUCUGGCCUCUGUAAUCGUGCAUCACAGGAACUGAGAGAAAUUUGUGAGCAAGGGUGGCUUUCUGUUGUAUCAUGUUACUAUAAUUCUGAAAUCCGAGAAAGAUAUUUUGCAAGGAAAAACAUUCUUAUUUUCUGGGACCCUCUUCUCGGUUCACCAUCCAAAAAAUAGACUAAAUCUAGUAACAGAUUGAAGUUUUAUGAUGUCAUUCGUGAUUUACAGAAAUUUAUAAGAGAUUUAGUACAGAGUUCCCAUAUACCCCUUUACCCAGU